Long non-coding RNA from Pan paniscus (pygmy chimpanzee), 2106 nucleotides. NCBI's taxonomy places the organism in Eukaryota, Metazoa, Chordata, Mammalia, Primates, Hominidae. The record is from Ensembl.
AGUUCCUCCUCCCCCACAAGCUGGCACGUGUGGAUAUUGGCUCUGUUUGCCUUUGACCCCUAGUGAAAGAAAAUACUGAGGACCACAGGUCAUCCUCAAGCCUUCCCCAGGCUAUCCUUGUCCCUGAAUACUAAUGUCUAAAGGUCAGCCCAGCUACCACCAGUGUGCAUGUGAUGUGUCCCAUCUCCCCUUCGGAUUGGAGGAAGAAGCUGUGUCCCUCCCAUCAGGCAGACGGUCUCCUUAAAGAUUCUCCUGGUCUCCAGCUUGGGCUCUGCUGGAAAGAAGACGAAGUAUGUAGCAAGGGUGAAGGUAUGAUGCCCUCCCCACCAUCCAUCUCUCCCUCCAAACCUGUUCAAACUGGAACUUUAACAUUCACCCCCAAUCCAGUAAGCUCAACUCCCUUGAGUCCCUCUUCAGUCCUGUCCUCUCUUUCCCAGAUGGGUUCUUACUUCCCUGAGGCAACCAGAGAUAAGAAAAGACCGGAAUAUGAAUAUCCAGCAUUCCACAAAGAAUCCUACAGGCAGGGAUAUUGCCCAAUCACCAGUGCCUCGCAUCCCAGUUCUAUCCAAGAUCCAAGCUUGAUAUCCUCCUGAAAGACUUCCUGAAUCAGGUCACCAACAUGGACAUCUGAACUUCCAGAAUCAGGUCACCGUCUUUCUUCUCAUCUCUGGAUGUAUUUGGAGCUCAUUUGUCUGACGGUUUUUGAAUGCUAUCUUUUAAAAAUAAACUUUUACAAUUUGGGUUUAAUAAUUCUAGAUUUAUAGAAAAGUUGAAAAGAAAGUACAGAAAGUUCCCAUAUAUCCCUUAUCCAGUUCCCUUAAUGUUAACCUCCUACAUCAUCAUGGAACAUUUGCCAAAAUGAAGAUGUCAACACUGGUGCUUUGCUGUGAACUAAACUCCAGACUUUAUUCAGAUUUCAUGAAUUUUUCUCCUAAGGUCCCUUUUCCUUUCCGGCAUUCCAUCCAGGAUAUCACAUUGCAUUUGGUGUUUGUGUCUCCUUGGUCUCCUCUGGUUCUUGAGAGUUUCUCAGUCUCUCCUUGUUUUUCAUGACUGAAGUUUCAAGGAGUACUGGUCAGGUAUUCCAUAGAAUGUCCUACUGUUAGCUUUCAGCAGUAAAAGCCUUUCCACAAACAAAACCUUCUGCAGAGUCCUAAUCUGUGAGCAGACAAGAAUGGAGUUGCCAUGGUCACAGCAGUGAUGAGAAAUGAUCCCCUGAAUAUGAAUCUCCAUGAAACCCCCCGAGAAUUAUAAGAAACCCCCAGGAUACCAUGGAACCAAGUUUGAAAACCAUUAAUUUAGGCCAAGCUCGGUUCAGUACUUGGUUUUGAGCUAUAAAACCCUAGACAGGGAAUUAGAAACUAGAUCUUAGAUCUUACAUACUUCUGGUGACAGGGCCACCACAGUUUUUUUGUUUUUUGUUUUGUUUUGUUUUUUGAGGCAGAGUCUAACUCUGUUGCCCAGGCUGGAGUGCGGUGGCACAAUCUCAGCUCACUGCAAACUCCGCCUCCCAGGCUCAAGCGAUUCUCCUGUCUCAGCCUCCUGAGUAGCUGGGAUUAGAGGUGUGUGCCACCAUACCCAGCUAAUUUUUGUAUUUUUAGUAGAGAUGGGGUUUCACCAUGUUGGCCAGGCUGAUCUCGAACUCCUGACCUCAGGUGAUCCACCCAAGUCGGCCUCCCAAAGUGCUGGGAUUACAGGCAUGAGCCAUGGCGCCUGGCUGCAUUGGUCUACUCUUCAGGUGACAUCAUGUUAAUUGGACCAGAAAAGUGCCAAGGAGCCUUGGUAAGUGCAUGCAUUCCAGGGGAUGGGAAGAAAAAAACCCCUACAAAGAUUUAGUGUCUUACUAACAUCAGUGAGAUCUUUAGUGGUUUGGUAGUCAGAAGCAUGACUAGACAUCCCCUCCAAAGAAAAGGAGAAAUUCUUGCCCAGCAGAUAAGAAAGCUCAUCUGGUAGGCCUCCUCAGACUCUGGAGAAAACAUAUUCUACCUUUGGGAAUAUGUUUUACAGGUGACAUUAAAGGCUGUCAAAUUUGAAUGAGACACAGAGCAAGAAAGAGCUGUUCAACAGUUCCGGGUGUGGUGCAAAUGGUCCUGCCACUUGGCCCUUAAG